UGAACGCUGGCGGCAUGCCUUACACAUGCACGUCGACCGGCAGCACGGGUGCUUGCCCCUGGUGGCGAGUGGCGAACGGGUGAGUAAUACAUCGGAACAUGUCCUGUAGUGGGGGAUAGCCCGGCGAAAGCCGGAUUAAUACCGCAUACGAUCUACGGAUGAAAGCGGGGGACCUUCGGGCCUCGCGCUAUAGGGUUGGCCGAUGGCUGAUUAGCUAGUUGGUGGGGUAAAGGCCUACCAAGGCGACGAUCAGUAGCUGGUCUGAGAGGACGACCAGCCACACUGGGACUGAGACACGGCCCAGACUCCUACGGGAGGCAGCAGUGGGGAAUUUUGGACAAUGGGCGAAAGCCUGAUCCAGCAAUGCCGCGUGUGUGAAGAAGGCCUUCGGGUUGUAAAGCACUUUUGUCCGGAAAGAAAUCCUUGGCCCUAAUACGGUCGGGGGAUGACGGUACCGGAAGAAUAAGCACCGGCUAACUACGUG
This 484-nucleotide ribosomal RNA is filed under the name uncultured bacterium. Its description in RNAcentral is "partial 16S ribosomal RNA". It matches the Rfam family "Bacterial small subunit ribosomal RNA", at positions 30 to 507 of the family's 1533-position model. The record is from RNAcentral.